Molecule: non-coding RNA, 114 nt
Organism: Salvelinus sp. IW2-2015
Lineage: Eukaryota; Metazoa; Chordata; Actinopteri; Salmoniformes; Salmonidae
Source: RefSeq, a predicted model, not a curated record
AUAUCAGAAGAGGCUGGUAAGUUUGGUCUGGGAUGGGGUAGGUAAUAUCAGAAGAGGUUGGUAAGUUUGGUCUGGGAUGGGGUAGGUAAUAUCAGAAGAGGCUGGUAAGUUUGU